This 72-nucleotide transfer RNA is filed under the name Marmota monax (woodchuck). RNAcentral describes it as "tRNA.Ala". Lineage: Eukaryota; Metazoa; Chordata; Mammalia; Rodentia; Sciuridae. The record is from RNAcentral.
GGAGGUGUGGCUCAGCGGUAGAGCACUUGCCUAGCACAUGCAAGGACCUGAGUUCGAUCAUCAGCACUACAU